This 497-nucleotide ribosomal RNA is filed under the name uncultured bacterium. RNAcentral describes it as "partial 16S ribosomal RNA". It matches the Rfam family "Bacterial small subunit ribosomal RNA", at positions 28 to 507 of the family's 1533-position model. The record is from RNAcentral.
GAUGAACGCUGGCGGCGUGCCUAAUACAUGCAAGUAGAACGCUGAAGGAAGGAGCUUGCUCUUUCCGGAUGAGUUGCGAACGGGUGAGUAACGCGUAGGUAACCUGCCUGGUAGCGGGGGAUAACUAUUGGAAACGAUAGCUAAUACCGCAUAACAGUAGAUGUUGCAUGAUAUCUACUUAAAAGGUGCAAUUGCACCACUACCAGAUGGACCUGCGUUGUAUUAGCUAGUUGGUGAGGUAACGGCUCACCAAGGCGACGAUACAUAGCCGACCUGGGAGGGUGAUCGGCCACACUGGGACUGAGACACGGCCCAGACUCCUACGGGAGGCAGCAGUAGGGAAUCUUCGGCAAUGGACGGAAGUCUGACCGAGCAACGCCGCGUGAGUGAAGAAGGUUUUCGGAUCGUAAAGCUCUGUUGUAAGAGAAGAACGAGUGUGGGAGUGGAAAGUUCACACUGUGACGGUAUCUUACCAGAAAGGGACGGCUAACUACGUG